This 549-nucleotide ribosomal RNA is filed under the name uncultured beta proteobacterium. RNAcentral describes it as "bacterial SSU rRNA". It matches the Rfam family "Bacterial small subunit ribosomal RNA", at positions 355 to 897 of the family's 1533-position model. The record is from RNAcentral. Lineage: Bacteria; Pseudomonadati; Pseudomonadota; Betaproteobacteria.
UGGGGAAUUUUGGACAAUGGGGGAAACCCUGAUCCAGCCAUGCCGCGUGCGGGAAGAAGGCCUUCGGGUUGUAAACCGCUUUUAGCUGGGAAGAAAAGAUCACGGAUAACACCCGUGGUUCUUGACGGUACCGGCGGAAUAAGCACCGGCUAACUACGUGCCAGCAGCCGCGGUAAUACGUAGGGUGCGAGCGUUAAUCGGAAUUACUGGGCGUAAAGCGUGCGCAGGCGGUUCGUUGUGUCCGUCGUGAAAGCCCCGGGCUUAACCUGGGAACUGCGAUGGAAACUAGCGAGCUGGAGUGUGGCAGAGGGGGGUGGAAUUCCGCGUGUAGCAGUGAAAUGCGUAGAGAUGCGGAGGAACACCGAUGGCGAAGGCAGCCCCCUGGGCUAACACUGACGCUCAGGCACGAAAGCGUGGGGAGCAAACAGGAUUAGAUACCCUGGUAGUCCACGCCCUAAACCAUGUCAACUGGGUGUUCGGGAAGCGAUUUCUGAGUACCGUAGCUAACGCGUGAAGUUGACCGCCUGGGGAGUACGGCCGCAAGGUUAA